AACGUAGGUCACAAGCGUUGUCCGGAAUUACUGGGUGUAAAGGGAGCGCAGGCGGGAAGACAAGUUGGAAGUGAAAUCCAUGGGCUCAACCCAUGAACUGCUUUCAAAACUGUUUUUCUUGAGUAGUGCAGAGGUAGGCGGAAUUCCCGGUGUAGCGGUGGAAUGCGUAGAUAUCGGGAGGAACACCAGUGGCGAAGGCGGCCUACUGGGCACUAACUGACGCUGAGGCUCGAAAGUGUGGGUAGCAAACAGG
RNAcentral lists this ribosomal RNA (253 nucleotides) under Faecalibacterium prausnitzii. RNAcentral describes it as "partial 16S ribosomal RNA". It matches the Rfam family "Bacterial small subunit ribosomal RNA", at positions 524 to 776 of the family's 1533-position model. The record is from RNAcentral. Lineage: Bacteria; Bacillati; Bacillota; Clostridia; Eubacteriales; Oscillospiraceae.